AUGACUGGUCGUGCUAAAUCUGCGGGUUCUCGUAUCGAGGUGGACAUCGAGAAAAAUAGAGAAGAAGGAAACUGGACGAAAGUUAUUGAGCUAGCUGAACAGCUCAAAGAGAAAUCUUCAGAUUUUCAAUGUCUGUCGGAUUUCUUAAUCGGAGAAGGUAAAUUGGAGAGUUAUUUGGAAGAGUGGCCUCCAAUUGAGUUGAACAUUCACCGAGCUAAAAAAGGACUUAUCGAAGCCAAAGCUUACUUAAAUAAGGUUAUUACGAAAGAAGGAGUUCAGGCAGGGGUUGCAAUGGACGCUCAUUUACUUUUAGGUAAACUUAACUAUACCUGCGGACAAUAUUCAGACGGGCUUAAAAACUUUAGUGAUGGCGAACUACAAAAAUUAUCAGAAAAAAGAUUACCUUUGAGAAGUUUAAAAAUAGUUGCAGAAUCAUAUGCGAUUAAAGGGCUAUGCUUGCAAAAAGAUAUGUCUGCAUCAAAUUCAUCAAGUAAAUUCAAAAAAGCAGAAAAAGAAGAAGAACUAGCCAGGUGUUUUGAUUUAGCCUCGGACUUGAGUUUGUUGUACAUGCAAAAACUUGAGAAGGAAAUUAAUACUACUUCGAUAGGAAGUACCGGGACAACAGGUAGUCACUCUCCACAACCACCAGGGCCACAUAAAACUCUCGGAGAAGUGCUCGAACAAGCAUUACAGGCAGCUCCAAUUGCUCUGUUGCAUCAGGGCAAGCCUGAUCUAGCAUUAGAAAGAUAUAGGAAUUCAUUAUAUGCAGUUGAAUCUCACGGGGUGCACAAUAUAAGACUGAAAUUCAUGACACAAAUGGCCGAGUUACUUUUACAGGGUCUAGUGGGGCAAAAAUAUCAAGCACCGCUAAAUGCCAACCCCAAAGCCUCUGUUUGGAAGCCCAAAUAUUAUUCGUCGUUGAAUCAGUUCAUACCGAGAUGCGAGAGCGAAGAAAUUAUUCUGGCCUUGCUGGUGGCCGAAUCGAUGGCCGUUCGUAACGCCGUACUGUCGCAAAGUCCGGAAUUCAAGGAGGCCCGAUUGAGCGCCUACCAGGACGCCACAACCGUCUACGACUUACUCACCGUGGCCACGGUCAGGUGGGGACAAAUAUCCCUGUUGCAAGAGUCUUUGGAAAGGUCGAUGAAAUUCUCUUUUGAAGAGCCCCACCUAUGGAAACAGCACGCUCUUGCUUCUUUGACCAUAGGAAACUACGAUCAUGCUCUGGCAGUACUAAAAGAAGUUAUUAGGUUAGAACCAAACAAUUCCAGCAAUUGUUUGCUGGCUGCUAGAUUAUGUUUUGAACAUCUCAAUCUUCCUGAAGAAGGUAUAGCAUUUUCUUUACAAGCUAGAGAAAAAGAAAUAAAUUCACCAUCAGGUUUGCUGGGGAGGUGUCACUUGUAUGCUGGCAUCGGUUAUCACCUUCUUGCAGAAGCUAGCCUCCUUAAAAAAGACAAGGAAGCGUUGAGAUGCAAGGCUAUCGACAAUAUACGCACUGCGGUCGAACUAGAACCCAACGACCACCUAUCCAGGUACUACCUGGGUUUGCAAUUGGCCAUCACUGGCCAAACUUCCGAGGCUCAAAGUCACAUUCAAAUUGGGUUGGGGCUUCAUCCAGAACACUCCACCACUCUGCACUUACUCAUCCUGGUACUUACGGCCGAAAGACAGCACAAACUGGCACUGACCGUCGUGGAAAACGCCCUAGAAGAGUAUCCGGACUGUCUGAACUUGUUGUACGUCAAAACGCAUCUGGAGUUGCACGAAAAAGGCGGCGAAGUAGCAUUGAUUACAGCAAGACAAAUGCUCGAACUGUGGAAGAAUUUAUACGAAGGUCAGACGAUAUCUGACGUACCAGAAUGUGACAGAAAAAGUGACACAAGAUCGGUGUUUCAACUAUAUACAUCGGAAAUGUCAGACAAAGACUCCAGCUCUCUACAACUUCACAACACCGCAGUAUCCAGGGUGGAGCAGGCGCUGAGCGAGGUUGCCAGUUCGAUGAGCAGUUUCAGUCCGAAACCCGGCCCGCAGAGGGCGUGGAUGUUGCAAUUGGAGGUGUGGCUUUUACUUGCCGAGCUGUAUUUGGCCUUGGACCAAAUAGCUGACGUGCAGCAAUGCAUUCAGGAGGCCAGUCAGAUUUAUCCGUUGAGUCAUCACAUUAUGCAUAUGACCUAUAUUUUUAUAGAAGGGGCUGUUGCAUAUGCACAAAGAAGACUGGACGGAGGCAAAAUUCUGUUUCCAAAAUGCAGUGGCUAUAAACCCACUGCACGUAAAAUCCUUACAACAACUGGGUUUAGUUUACCAUUACCUAGGAUUGCAAGGGUUGGCUGAAACUACCCUUAGGGAAGCGGCGAAAAUCGAACCUCACAAUACCAUUACAUGGUAUAAUUUGGGAAAGGUUUUGGAAGCGAUGGGAGAGUAUGAAAAAGCGGGUAAUUCUAUGGCUACAGCUUUAUUGGAAGAAAGAAAUAAUCCAAUAUUGCCGUUCAGUUCUGUGCCAUUAUGUUUUGAGUGAACCUAUAUCUGUUUUGGUAAAAAAAA
Molecule: RNA transcript, 2538 nt
Organism: Sitophilus oryzae (rice weevil)
Lineage: Eukaryota; Metazoa; Arthropoda; Insecta; Coleoptera; Curculionidae
Gene name: tetratricopeptide repeat protein 7B-like
Exons: 14
Source: RefSeq, a predicted model, not a curated record